This 429-nucleotide ribosomal RNA is filed under the name Chloroflexota bacterium. RNAcentral's name for it is "Chloroflexi bacterium partial 16S ribosomal RNA". It matches the Rfam family "Bacterial small subunit ribosomal RNA", at positions 355 to 776 of the family's 1533-position model. The record is from RNAcentral. Lineage: Bacteria; Bacillati; Chloroflexota.
UGGGGAAUAUUGCACAAUGGGCGCAAGCCUGAUGCAGCCAUGCCGCGUGUAUGAAGAAGGCCUUCGGGUUGUAAAGCACUUUCAGCGGGGAGGAAGGCGUUAAGGUUAAUAACCUUGGCGAUUGACGUUACCCGCAGAAGAAGCACCGGCUAACUCCGUGCCAGCAGCCGCGGUAAUACGGAGGGUGCAAGCGUUAAUCGGAAUUACUGGGCGUAAAGCGCACGCAGGCGGUCUGUCAAGUCGGAUGUGAAAUCCCCGGGCUCAACCUGGGAACUGCAUUCGAAACGGGCAGGCUAGAGUCUUGUAGAGGGGGGUAGAAUUCCAGGUGUAGCGGUGAAAUGCGUAGAGAUCUGGAGGAAUACCGGUGGCGAAGGCGGCCCCCUGGACAAAGACUGACGCUCAGGUGCGAAAGCGUGGGGAGCAAACAGG